GCACAAACGCUGGCGGCGUGCUUAACACAUGCAAGUCGAACGGAAAGGCCCUUCGGGGUACUCGAGUGGCGAACGGGUGAGUAACACGUGGGUGAUCUGCCCUGCACUUUGGGAUAAGCCUGGGAAACUGGGUCUAAUACCGAAUAUGACCGCGCACUUCCUGGUGUGUGGUGGAAAGCUUUUGCGGUGUGGGAUGGGCCCGCGGCCUAUCAGCUUGUUGGUGGGGUAAUGGCCUACCAAGGCGACGACGGGUAGCCGGCCUGAGAGGGUGACCGGCCACACUGGGACUGAGAUACGGCCCAGACUCCUACGGGAGGCAGCAGUGGGGAAUAUUGCACAAUGGGCGCAAGCCUGAUGCAGCGACGCCGCGUGAGGGAUGACGGCCUUCGGGUUGUAAACCUCUUUCAAUAGGGACGAAGCGCAAGUGACGGUACCUAUAGAAGAAGGACCGGCCAACUACGUGC
Molecule: ribosomal RNA, 464 nt
Filed under: uncultured bacterium
Lineage: Bacteria
Description: bacterial SSU rRNA
Rfam family: Bacterial small subunit ribosomal RNA
Source: RNAcentral